This 376-nucleotide ribosomal RNA is filed under the name uncultured bacterium. Its description in RNAcentral is "bacterial SSU rRNA". It matches the Rfam family "Bacterial small subunit ribosomal RNA", at positions 434 to 793 of the family's 1533-position model. The record is from RNAcentral.
CAGUAGGGAGGAAGGUAGUGUAGUUAACACCUGCUAUUAUUUGACGUUACCUACAGAAGAAGCACCGGCUAACUCCGUGCCAGCAGCCGCGGUAAUACGGGAGGGUGCGAGCGUUAAUCGGAAUUACGUGGGACGUAAAGCGCAUGCAGGCGGCCUGUUAAGUCAGAUGUAGAAACGGCCCGGGGUACUUAACCGUCGGUAAUUGCUAUUUAGAAACUGGCAGGCUAGAGUCUUGUAGAGGGGGUAGAAUUUCAGGUGUAGCGGUGAAAUGCGUAGAGAUCUGAAGGAAUACCAGUGGCGAAGGCGGCCCCCUGGACAAAGACUGACGCUCAGAUGCGAAAGCGUGGGGAGCAAACAGGAUUAGAUACCCUGGUAG